UACGUAGGGGGCAAGCGUUGUCCGGAAUCAUUGGGCGUAAAGAGCGUGUAGGCGGCCAGAUAAGUCCGCUGUGAAAUCUCGAGGCUCAACUUCGAGCUGUCGGUGGAAACUGUCUGGCUAGAGUCCGGAAGAGGAGAAUGGAACUCCUGGUGUAGCGGUGAAAUGCGCAGAUAUCAGGAAGAACACCCGUGGCGAAGGCGGCUCUCUGGGACGGUACUGACGCUGAGACGCGAAAGCGUGGGGAGCGAACAGG
RNAcentral lists this ribosomal RNA (253 nucleotides) under uncultured bacterium. Its description in RNAcentral is "partial 16S ribosomal RNA". It matches the Rfam family "Bacterial small subunit ribosomal RNA", at positions 524 to 776 of the family's 1533-position model. The record is from RNAcentral.